RNAcentral lists this ribosomal RNA (606 nucleotides) under Triticum aestivum (bread wheat). Its description in RNAcentral is "partial small subunit ribosomal RNA". Lineage: Eukaryota; Viridiplantae; Streptophyta; Magnoliopsida; Poales; Poaceae. The record is from RNAcentral.
AUGCAACACAUGGCCACAUCUUACUUCAAGGAGGUUUAUACGAAAGAUCCAACUCUCACUCCGGAGAGUGUCUUGGAGGGUAUUGCAUCUAAGGUAACUCAAGGUAUGAACGAUACCCUAUGUGCUCCCUUCUCAGAGGACGAGGUUUCAAAUGCUCUCUUUCAAAUCGGCCCGCUUAAAGCACCGGGGACGGACGGCCUCCCGGCGAGGUUCUUUCAACGAAACUGGGCCGUGCUGAAAUCUGAAAUCAUAGCUGAUGUGCUGGAGUUCUUUAAGUCAGGAGAUAUGCCGAACGGGGUGAACGACACGGCUAUCGUUCUUAUCCCAAAAAUUCCUUUCCCAAAGGAACUCAAGGAUUUUAGACCGAUAAGCUUAUGUAACGUCAUCUACAAGAUUGUCUCAAAAUGCCUUGUGAACCGACUAAGGCCGUUGCUCGCGGAGCUCAUCUCAGAGAAUCAGAGUGCCUUCGUUCCAGGGAGGCUUAUCACUGACAAUUCGAUUAUUGCUUUUGAGUGCCUUCACCACAUACAGUCGCUGAAACAAAACAGACCGGCGACAUGUGCUUAUAAGCUGGACUUGUCGAAGGCAUAUGACCGUGUCGACUGA